This 2202-nucleotide long non-coding RNA is filed under the name Populus tremula. Its description in RNAcentral is "long non-coding RNA (PTRE_LNC001266)". Lineage: Eukaryota; Viridiplantae; Streptophyta; Magnoliopsida; Malpighiales; Salicaceae. The record is from RNAcentral.
UUAAUCAUGGAUUUUUAAACAAAUAUAUGUAAUGCGUGAUACAUCAACUUUAUAUUGAUGGAUGUGGAAUUAAAUAAUAAUAAUGUUAUGAUCUUUUUAAAAAAAAUAUUGUUUUAAUGUUUGGAAGGGUUAGUGUUGUCUUAUUCCAUUAUUUAUAUGAACACAAUUGUAUAACGAUAAAAACAAAUCAUCCUUGAUUAUUAAAAUAAUUAAAUUCGAGGCUUUUGUUCCAAAUACUUAACAUAUUUACCCUUCAGUCUACAUGUAUUAUUAUCUGUUUUUAUUCUAUAUCAUAUAUAAAAAAAUGGUGAUAGGGGUUCGUACCUCUUUUUGGUAAUCCAAACAAAAUAAAAAAAGAGUCAAGAAAAAGGGCUUGUUGAAUUAGAACCCAAAGUGGUGAAGAAAAAUAAAGAGAUGUUAAUUAGAAGAAAAACGAACCUCAAGUAAAAUAUUAUUAUUUAUCCAUCUCAUGAAUAAUUUUCAAUAAUAAAAACUUGAUUUAUUUAUAAAUGACCUUUGUAAUUUAGCAAAAAUAAUUAAAUUAGUCUAUAAGAAAAGAAAAGACAAUUCAUUUAGUUUAAUUUUCUCCAUGCAUUUAAUUUUGUAAUUAUUAUUAUUAUUUUUUAAUAAAUAGAAAGGUAAAAAACAUUAGAUUAAUUGGAUGGAAAGUUGAUGAGAAAAGAAAGCUUUUUUUUUUCUUCAAAAACAUACAUUUAAAUUAAGCAUGGUUAAAUGAUUAUUUAAUUAUUGUUGAUACUACAAGGAGUAAUUAGUUUUUUUUUUUAUAAACUAUAAGGACUAAAUUAUUUUUAACUCUAAAACUUUAGGGUAAAUUUUAGUAUGCUUUUAGAUGGUGUCUCAAAUUCAUCUCGAAAGUUUGGUUUGUAUAAUUCAAUCUCCUUGGUUGUGAUAAUAAGUAGUUUCAGCUUCCCUCAAUUUAUUUUGUCCAUUUCUGUUUGUGGUAACAAGGGAUCAUAAAUUUAAAUUUUAUUCUUAAAAUUUAAAAAAUAUUCUCAUUAUCAUCUAAAAAAUAUUAUAAACUAAAUAAAUAAUUGAAUUAAGAUAAAAAAUCAAUAAAAAAGUUGUUUUUUCAGAAAAACAAAAAUGAUAUCUAAAACUUGAGCUAAUAAUUAGUUGUUUCUCAUGUAAUCUCCAUACCCUACCAACUUCAAUUUUCAUUCACCGAUAACAAUAUCAUCCCUUUUUCUUAAUUUGUCAAUACUAAAUGUUAAAUGAAAAUAAAGAUUUAAAUGGUUCUACGUCUAUUUUGUUUUGUUUUCUUUCAGUAUAUUUUGAGUUAUAUCGAGGUAUAAUUUCAUCAUAAAUCCUAGGAGAAAAAAAUAAAAUUCACACAUAUUUUAUAGUAUAAAAUUGAGGCAUUCCUACGAGGAGAAAUUAAAAUUUACUCUAAAAUUUAUUCCACGGAAUUUCAAUGGUAUGCAUGCCAUGAUGCUUUCUGUUGAGUUUUUCUUUUCUAGAAAAUAUGAAGUGGGCCGGGGUAUUGUCUUCCAUGAUGCUUCCAGCUGAGACUUCAUACACAGAAAAGUAGAGAAACAGUACAGUAUGAAUAAUGGGAAAAAAGGUGGUGUUUCUUCUCCACCGAGUCUUGGCGGAAAUCAUGUGAUCGCAGAUAUACAGGCAACUAAAAGACGUGAGAUUUCUUGCUGAUCAUCAGUUUUCUUCUUUAUCUCUGCUCCUUCCAUUAACAGGUAGUGGCUGUCUAUCAAUGUUGCUCUCAGUCUUCACCAAUAUAAAACCGAUUAGAGAUGAGUGGAGCAAAGCCAUCGAGGCCUGAGUUCCCAAGAAAAGUGGUGUCUUAUUAUCAUGGAUAUGUGCAUUUUGGUGCCACCAUCCAGGGGACAGUGCAAGAUAGCAACGGCCACCGCAGAUAUUGCCUCUAAUCCAUCCAAUUUAGCUCUUUUUUUUCUCCCUCAAAACCACGUUUGAAAGACAGCGAAAUGCCGUUCACAGCAUCUUGCCUUCUUAUCAAAUACCUUUUGUUUACCCAAGUUUUUAGAGUGAUCGAGAUUGCAAGCAACCUUAGAAAAUGAUGGUUUUUACAUGUAAAUCUUUCGUUUUCUUCAAGUUGCUUAAGUUAUCUUCUUUCCCUCCUUGUUAAUGAUGGUUUUUUAUAUCUAAAGCAACUUUUCAUUUUAUUUUUUGCUGCAUGUAUUACCGUUUUAUAUUAUUUAGAAAGAAAGC